GCCCAGGUGGUGGAAUUGGUAGACACGCAGGUCUCAGAAGCCUGUGCCGAAAGGUGUUCGGGUUCGAGUCCCGAUCUGGGCA
RNAcentral lists this transfer RNA (82 nucleotides) under Cephaloticoccus capnophilus. It matches the Rfam family "tRNA". From Rfam's summary of the family: Transfer RNA (tRNA) molecules are approximately 80 nucleotides in length. Their secondary structure includes four short double-helical elements and three loops (D, anti-codon, and T loops). The record is from Rfam by way of RNAcentral. Lineage: Bacteria; Pseudomonadati; Verrucomicrobiota; Opitutia; Opitutales; Opitutaceae.